RNAcentral lists this transfer RNA (75 nucleotides) under bacterium. RNAcentral describes it as "tRNA-Gly". It matches the Rfam family "tRNA". Rfam says of the family: Transfer RNA (tRNA) molecules are approximately 80 nucleotides in length. Their secondary structure includes four short double-helical elements and three loops (D, anti-codon, and T loops). Further hydrogen bonds mediate the characteristic L-shaped molecular structure. tRNAs have two regions of fundamental functional importance: the anti-codon, which is responsible for specific mRNA codon recognition, and the 3' end, to which the tRNAs corresponding amino acid is attached (by aminoacyl-tRNA synthetases). tRNAs cope with the degeneracy of the genetic code in two manners: having more than one tRNA (with a specific anti-codon) for a particular amino acid; and 'wobble' base-pairing, i.e. permitting non-standard base-pairing at the 3rd anti-codon position. The record is from RNAcentral. RNAcentral also lists the same sequence under 4 other names.
GCGGCUGUAGCUCAGUGGUAGAGCGCAACCUUGCCAAGGUUGAUGUCGAGGGUUCAAGUCCCUUCAGCCGCUCCA